Molecule: long non-coding RNA, 2712 nt
Organism: Schistocerca piceifrons (Central American locust)
Lineage: Eukaryota; Metazoa; Arthropoda; Insecta; Orthoptera; Acrididae
Exons: 2
Source: RefSeq, a predicted model, not a curated record
GUUGGCCGAGCGAUUUGUGCUUGUGUAGGGCCCUAAAGAUUCUCCUCCUUGGUGGGUUGUAUGUAAUACGAUGAAUAAUGAAUGAGUGACUUAACAAAAUGUGUGUUCUGUUGUUGUUACGUGAUGUCCCAACUGUAUUGCAUGGUACCAAUUAUUAUUGCUUUUCCAUAGUAAACUGUACGAGACAUAUAUUCUGAAUGUUUGUGUAUGAUACGGAUUGCUAUUGAGUUAUCAAGUGUGUUUUCAAUAAGCUGACAAGAUGCUGCUGUGGAUGUAUUAUGUUCGUACAUUGGUACUUCUGCGUACGCGUAACGCAGCGUCUGCUUCUGUUCGGCAGUCAUCAUUUUGUGUUGGUAUGUGCUUUUAGAAUAUUGGAAUCGAGAGGUAUCAUGUAUCAGUUGUACGAGUGUUGUGGAGAAAGUGGACUAACUGGCGAAACAUUUGCAAUCAUCGUGAGUUCCUUCAUUCAACGAUGUAAACGGCUUCUUACAGUAGAUGACCCGAGUCUUUCAGUUGUUCUGACGAUCAUGUGUGUUUCGCUUCUGACUUGUACUGUAAUCAUGCUCCAUAAACGGCAUGGUCACGAUAACACCUUAAGAACAAGCACAUUGCUUUUUCCACAAAACGGUGAUAACGGGACCACCAGAAACGUUAAGAUUUCUUAGGAAGAAUGAAAUGUUUGGACUACGUCUAUCAAAACAUAAAAAUGUAAAUGGUGUGAAAUAUUGCUGUAAUCAGUGCCUUUGGAGAAGGGAGUUCCGAAAAACUUAAUUACGUUGAAAGUGAAUAGGGGCAGUGUCGUCGCCCGAUUUGCUGAUCUACAGUUGGUUCAAUACAUGGCUGUGCCCUGUGUACAGUGAAUUUAUUUGCAGCCAAUUCUGAUAACUUUGACAUUCCGAGUUGAUUUCUUGGUUGUAACCGUUGGUACGAAAUUCCCCAAUAAUUCUAAUUUGUAUAAGUAUCGUGGGAAUUUAGAUGUUAAAUUGAUGUGACUACUGUAAUCAUCUAAAACAAUGUCUUAGUAAUUACACUUGACAUCAAGAAAUUAAAUUCGUCAAUGGAGACUGAUCACUGCAAUCCAUCAUAAUGUUUCAUAAGUCAAUAUUGCACAUUAGCAGGCCUUUGUCAACCUGUUUGCAGUUGUCUCAGGAAAUCUACCUCAUUUCAGGGUCUCAUUUUGCCCACACAAGUGGCAUAAAGGUAGUGGGCUGCAGGGCUCCUGCCACCAGCAAGCCAGUGGGAGCCUAACAGUGUCAGCUCCCACUAUGUUGCCACUUCUGCUGAGGUUUGCUGCCUGAAGAACUGUGCCAGCAAGUCAUUGUCAUGAGAAAUUUGAUGCCUUGGUAUAUGAUGAAAGCAGUCAAAAGAGGGACAGGCCAAGGGUGCACACUCCUAGGAAACUUUCAAAAAGUGUCAGACAUGACGAGUUUACACACGGUCAGUUGUGUGAAUUUGUGUGUUUCAUGAGGGAGCAUUUUGAAAGACAGAGGGAAGGAUGUAUGAGUGCCUCUACUUCCUAGCUGGUUGGCCGAGGUGGUGGAGCAAAUUGCAGCUGCUCUACAAAUUGGUGAAUGACCAAUGAUAAGAAUCUUGUAGGAGAAAUUCAUGAAAGAAGAAUCGGAUGAGUCGUCUAAAUUGGAGACACCUAGGAAGAAGAGGCUUGUCGAAAAGGGGGUCACAAAUCUCUACUCUUGUUGCAGUGGACCUGUUUCGGGCUGGUAAAUAGUCCCUUGUUAUGAAUCAUGGAAAAGUUAGGAUUUCACUAUAAAUCCAUUUCUGGCCACCAGUUACUACUGGAAGGCCAAGAUGUUGCAGCCUUGCAAUGCUGUUUGUUUAGAGAAUUAGUAGGGACAAAUUUUGAUGAUAUUGUGUGGUUUGCUGAAAGAUGCAUGAGUGUGAGAGACAGUUAAAAAAAAAGGCUGGAUAGAUGAUACCAUCAGCAGUAGUAUGGCAGCUCCGAUUGGCAGAGGAAAACAAUUAUACCUCAUGCCAAAUAUUGAGAAGGUUUCAUUUGUAUUUGUCUGCUGUUAUUCACUUCAAACAAGACCUCCAAUUACCUUGAGGAGGAGAUGAAGCACAAUGCUUUUGUAAAAUGGUUUGAAGACACUGUACUUCAAAACUUAACGAAAACCUCAAACUCUGUAAUUGUCAUGGAUAACACUCUAUAUCAUUCACUUAUACAAGACAAGACACCCACCAUGCCAAUGAAGAAAAAUGACACUGUUUGCUGGCUAGAGAAAUGUGAGAUACAGUUUUACAGUAACUUGACAAGAGCAGAAUUAGUAGAACCUGUCGCAACAUAAGCCAAAGGACUCAGUUUACAUUGUGAAUGAAAUAGCCAAAAAAAUAUGGGCAUAACAAGUUCAGAUAUCCACCCAAUCAUUGCCACUCCAAUGUAAUAGUACUGAUUUGGGCUCAUGUUAAACAUCGUAUUGGCUUUGGAACUAGGCAGUUGAAAGUGACACCAGAAGAUUGGUGAAAGAUAGUGGGUCAUGUCAAGGGAUUGAUACAGGAAGCACAGAACAGUGAAAUGUGUUACAACAGUGCACCGAAGAUUUUAUAAUACUUAUCACUAAGAGGAGCAGCGAUACUGAUAGUUCCACUGACUCUGACUGUUUUAUGCGGUGUCUUUGUAUUGGCUGAUUAGUUUGUAGUGUACAGUGUACUUUAAUGAAUGUCUUGCUUCCAUUAAAUCUUGUGUUUGUGACUUUA